CGGAGGAUCCAAGCGUUAUCCGGAAUCAUUGGGUUUAAAGGGUCCGUAGGCGGUUUAGUAAGUCAGUGGUGAAAGCCCAUCGCUCAACGGUGGAACGGCCAUUGAUACUGCUAGACUUGAAUUAUUAGGAAGUAACUAGAAUAUGUAGUGUAGCGGUGAAAUGCUUAGAGAUUACAUGGAAUACCAAUUGCGAAGGCAGGUUACUACUAAUUGAUUGACGCUGAUGGACGAAAGCGUGGGUAGCGAACAGGAUUAGAUACCCUGGUAGUCCACGCCGUAAACGAUGGAUACUAGCUGUUGGGAGCGAUCUCAGUGGCUAAGCGAAAGUGAUAAGUAUCCCACCUGGGGAGUACGUUCGCAAGAAUG
RNAcentral lists this ribosomal RNA (366 nucleotides) under uncultured organism. RNAcentral's name for it is "bacterial SSU rRNA". It matches the Rfam family "Bacterial small subunit ribosomal RNA", at positions 526 to 896 of the family's 1533-position model. The record is from RNAcentral.